Molecule: ribosomal RNA, 432 nt
Filed under: Actinomycetales bacterium
Lineage: Bacteria; Bacillati; Actinomycetota; Actinomycetes; Actinomycetales
Description: bacterial SSU rRNA
Rfam family: Bacterial small subunit ribosomal RNA
Source: RNAcentral
GUCGAACGGUGACCUCGGAGCUUGCUCCGGGCGAUCAGUGGCGAACGGGUGAGUAACACGUGAGUAACCUGCCCCAGACUCUGGAAUAACCCCGGGAAACCGGAGCUAAUACCGGAUACGAGACGGAGCCGCAUGGCUACCGUCUGGAAAGUUUUUCGGUCUGGGAUGGACUCGCGGCCUAUCAGCUAGUUGGUGAGGUAACGGCUCACCAAGGCGACGACGGGUAGCCGGCCUGAGAGGGCGACCGGCCACACUGGGACUGAGACACGGCCCAGACUCCUACGGGAGGCAGCAGUGGGGAAUAUUGCACAAUGGGCGAAAGCCUGAUGCAGCGACGCCGCGUGAGGGAUGACGGCCUUCGGGUUGUAAACCUCUUUCAGCAGGGAAGAAGCGAAAGUGACGGUACCUGCAGAAGAAGCACCGGCUAACUAC